RNAcentral lists this RNase P RNA (350 nucleotides) under Chlamydiales bacterium. Its description in RNAcentral is "RNase P RNA component class A". It matches the Rfam family "Bacterial RNase P class A". From Rfam's summary of the family: Ribonuclease P (RNase P) is a ubiquitous endoribonuclease, found in archaea, bacteria and eukarya as well as chloroplasts and mitochondria. RNAcentral also lists the same sequence under 1 other name. Lineage: Bacteria; Pseudomonadati; Chlamydiota; Chlamydiia; Chlamydiales. The record is from RNAcentral.
UCGGGAAGACAGGCGGUCGCCGUUUCGACGGAGGAAAGUCUGGACAUCGCAGGAGAGGAUACCAGCGAAAGGCUGGGGGCCGCAAGGCUACGGAAAGUGCAACAGAAAACAUACCGCUGCAGCCUGGCUGCAGGGAGGGUGAAAUGCCUGCUUCGAGAGCAGGCCCUGAUCAAGGUAACUUGGACAGGUGGCAAACCCUAUCCGAUGCAAAACCGAUUUAAAGCAAUACAGCUCUCCGCUGUGCUUUAGAUGUGUUGCUUGAGGGCUUUGGCGACAAAGCUCCUAGAGGAAUGAUCGCCUAAUGGCAGCAAUGCCAGGGACAGAAUCCGGCUUAUCGUCUUCCCGAACUU